This 598-nucleotide ribosomal RNA is filed under the name Morchella sp. Its description in RNAcentral is "partial large subunit ribosomal RNA". It matches the Rfam family "Eukaryotic large subunit ribosomal RNA", at positions 68 to 678 of the family's 3401-position model. Lineage: Eukaryota; Fungi; Ascomycota; Pezizomycetes; Pezizales; Morchellaceae. The record is from RNAcentral.
ACAGGGCAUUGCCUAGUAACGGCGAGUGAAGCGGCAAAAGCUCAAAUUUUAAAGCUGGCACCUCCGGUGUCCGCGUUGUAAUUUUGUGAGGCAUCUCCGGGUAGGGCGCCGGCCUAAGUUCCUUGGAACAGGACGUCAUAGAGGGUGAGAAUCCCGUGCUUGGCUGGCUGUCCCCGUCCAUGUGAGGUGUCUUCGACGAGUCGAGUUGUUUGGGAAUGCAGCUCAAAAUGGGUGGUAAAUUUCAUCUAAAGCUAAAUAUUGGUGGGAGACCGAUAGCGCACAAGUAGAGUGAUCGAAAGAUGAAAAGCACUUUGAAAAUAGAGUUAAAAAGUACGUGAAAUUGUUGAAAGGGAAGCGCUUGAGACCAGAUUUCGGUGGGGAGUGAUCAGCUGUCCUUCUGGGCGGUGCACUUGCUCCCCUCCGGGCCAGCAUCGGUUGGGACGGCGGGAUAAAGGUCCCGGGAAUGUGGCUCCUUUCGGGGAGUGUUAUAGCCCGGGUGAAUGCCGUCAGCCCCGACCGAGGACCGCGCCUUCGGGCUAGGAUGCUUGGCAUAAUGGUCUUCAGCGACCCGUCUAAACCCCCGGAACAAAAAAACCCU